AUUGAACGCUGGCGGCAGGCCUAACACAUGCAAGUCGAGCGAUAGAGAGAAGCUUGCUUCUCUUGAGAGCGGCGGACGGGUGAGUAAUGCCUAGGAAUCUGCCUGGUAGUGGGGGAUAACGUUCGGAAACGGACGCUAAUACCGCAUACGUCCUACGGGAGAAAGCAGGGGACCUUCGGGCCUUGCGCUAUCAGAUGAGCCUAGGUCGGAUUAGCUAGUUGGUGAGGUAAUGGCUCACCAAGGCGACGAUCCGUAACUGGGCUGAGAGGAUGAUCAGUCACGCUGGAACUGAGACACGGUCCAGACUCCUACGGGAUGCAGCAGUGGGGAACAUUGAACAAUGGGCGAAAGCCUGAUCCAGCCAUGCCGCGUUUGUGAAGAAGGUCUUCGGAUUGUAAAGCACUUUAAGUUGGGAGGAAGGGUUGUAGAUUAAUACUCUGCAAUUUUGACGUUACCGACAGAAUAAGCACCGGCUAACUCUGUGCCAGCAGCCGCCGUAA
This 500-nucleotide ribosomal RNA is filed under the name uncultured bacterium. Its description in RNAcentral is "partial 16S ribosomal RNA". It matches the Rfam family "Bacterial small subunit ribosomal RNA", at positions 30 to 523 of the family's 1533-position model. The record is from RNAcentral.